Molecule: ribosomal RNA, 253 nt
Filed under: uncultured bacterium
Lineage: Bacteria
Description: partial 16S ribosomal RNA
Rfam family: Bacterial small subunit ribosomal RNA
Source: RNAcentral
UACGGAGGGGACUAGCGUUGUUCGGAAUUACUGGGCGUAAAGCGCACGUAGGCGGAUUUGUAAGUCAGGGGUGAAAUCCCGGGGCUCAACCUCGGAACUGCCUUUGAUACUGCAAAUCUCGAGUCCGGAAGAGGUGAGUGGAAUUCCUAGUGUAGAGGUGAAAUUCGUAGAUAUUCGGAAGAACACCAGUGGCGAAGGCGACUUACUGGACACAUAUUGACGCUGAGGUGCGAAAGCGUGGGGAGCAAACAGG